Molecule: ribosomal RNA, 404 nt
Filed under: Actinomycetes bacterium
Lineage: Bacteria; Bacillati; Actinomycetota; Actinomycetes
Description: Actinobacteria bacterium partial 16S ribosomal RNA
Rfam family: Bacterial small subunit ribosomal RNA
Source: RNAcentral
UGGGGAAUAUUGGACAAUGGGCGCAAGCCUGAUCCAGCCAUGCCGCGUGAGUGAUGAAGGCCCUAGGGUUGUAAAGCUCUUUCACCGGUGAAGAUAAUGACGGUAACCGGAGAAGAAGCCCCGGCUAACUUCGUGCCAGCAGCCGCGGUAAUACGAAGGGGGCUAGCGUUGUUCGGAUUUACUGGGCGUAAAGCGCACGUAGGCGGACUUUUAAGUCAGGGGUGAAAUCCCGGGGCUCAACCCCGGAACUGCCUUUGAUACUGGUAGUCUGGAGUUCGAGAGAGGUGAGUGGAAUUCCGAGUGUAGAGGUGAAAUUCGUAGAUAUUCGGAGGAACACCAGUGGCGAAGGCGGCUCACUGGCUCGAUACUGACGCUGAGGUGCGAAAGCGUGGGGAGCAAACAGG